This 490-nucleotide ribosomal RNA is filed under the name uncultured bacterium. Its description in RNAcentral is "partial 16S ribosomal RNA". It matches the Rfam family "Bacterial small subunit ribosomal RNA", at positions 30 to 507 of the family's 1533-position model. The record is from RNAcentral.
AUUGAACGCUGGCGGCAGGCCUAACACAUGCAAGUCGAACGGUAACAGGGAUCAGCUUGCUGAUUCGCUGACGAGUGGCGGACGGGUGAGUAAUGUCUGGGAAACUGCCUGAUGGAGGGGGAUAACUACUGGAAACGGUAGCUAAUACCGCAUAACGUCGCAAGACCAAAGAGGGGGACCUUCGGGCCUCUUGCCAUCGGAUGUGCCCAGAUGGGAUUAGCUAGUAGGUGGGGUAACGGCUCACCUAGGCGACGAUCCCUAGCUGGUCUGAGAGGAUGACCAGCCACACUGGAACUGAGACACGGUCCAGGCUCCUACGGGAGGCAGCAGUGGGGAAUAUUGCACAAUGGGCGCAAGCCUGAUGCAGCCAUGCCGCGUGUAUGAAGAAGGCCUUCGGGUUGUAAAGUACUUUCAGCGGGGAGGAAGGGAGUAAAGUUAAUACCUUUGCUCAUUGACGUUACCCGCAGAAGAAGCACCGGCUAACUCCGUG